UCAAGGUGUUGGCAGGGUGAGUUUCUA
RNAcentral lists this non-coding RNA (27 nucleotides) under Homo sapiens (human). Lineage: Eukaryota; Metazoa; Chordata; Mammalia; Primates; Hominidae. The record is from RNAcentral.